This 272-nucleotide ribosomal RNA is filed under the name uncultured bacterium. RNAcentral describes it as "partial small subunit ribosomal RNA". It matches the Rfam family "Bacterial small subunit ribosomal RNA", at positions 26 to 285 of the family's 1533-position model. The record is from RNAcentral.
AGAAUCAACGCUGGCGGCGUGCCUAACACAUGCAAGUCGAACGCGAAAGUCCCGAAAGGGAUUAGUAGAGUGGCAAACGGGUGAGUAACACGUGGGUGACCUGCCUUCGAGUGGGGGAUAACGUCCCGAAAGGGACGCUAAUACCGCAUGACAUCCUGCCUUUGAAGAGGUGGAGAUCAAAGCUGGGGAUCGCAAGACCUAGCGCUCAAAGAGGGGCCCGCGCCUGAUUAGCUAGUUGGCGAGGUAACGGCUCACCAAGGCAACGAUCAGUA